RNAcentral lists this ribosomal RNA (253 nucleotides) under uncultured archaeon. RNAcentral's name for it is "partial 16S ribosomal RNA". It matches the Rfam family "Archaeal small subunit ribosomal RNA", at positions 474 to 727 of the family's 1478-position model. The record is from RNAcentral.
AACCAGCACCUCAAGUGGUCAGGAGGAUUAUUGGGCCUAAAGCAUUCGUAGCCGGUUGUAUAAGUUUCCGGUUAAAUCCAUAUGCUCAACAUAUGGGCUGCCGGGAAUACUGCACAACUAGGGAGUGGGAGAGGUAGAGGGUACUCCGUGGGAAGGGGUAAAAUCCUUUGAUCCAUGGAAGACCUCCUGUGGCGAAGGCGCUUUACCAGAACACGUCCGACGGUGAGGGAUGAAAGCUGGGGGAGCAAACCGG